This 575-nucleotide ribosomal RNA is filed under the name Listeria monocytogenes. RNAcentral describes it as "bacterial SSU rRNA". It matches the Rfam family "Bacterial small subunit ribosomal RNA", at positions 957 to 1533 of the family's 1533-position model. The record is from RNAcentral. Lineage: Bacteria; Bacillati; Bacillota; Bacilli; Caryophanales; Listeriaceae.
CAACGCGAAGAACCUUACCAGGUCUUGACAUCCUUUGACCACUCUGGAGACAGAGCUUUCCCUUCGGGGACAAAGUGACAGGUGGUGCAUGGUUGUCGUCAGCUCGUGUCGUGAGAUGUUGGGUUAAGUCCCGCAACGAGCGCAACCCUUGAUUUUAGUUGCCAGCAUUUAGUUGGGCACUCUAAAGUGACUGCCGGUGCAAGCCGGAGGAAGGUGGGGAUGACGUCAAAUCAUCAUGCCCCUUAUGACCUGGGCUACACACGUGCUACAAUGGAUAGUACAAAGGGUCGCGAAGCCGCGAGGUGGAGCUAAUCCCAUAAAACUAUUCUCAGUUCGGAUUGUAGGCUGCAACUCGCCUACAUGAAGCCGGAAUCGCUAGUAAUCGUGGAUCAGCAUGCCACGGUGAAUACGUUCCCGGGCCUUGUACACACCGCCCGUCACACCACGAGAGUUUGUAACACCCGAAGUCGGUAGGGUAACCUUUAUGGAGCCAGCCGCCGAAGGUGGGACAGAUAAUUGGGGUGAAGUCGUAACAAGGUAGCCGUAUCGGAAGGUGCGGCUGGAUCACCUCCUUU